UCAGUACUCUUGCCUGGAUGAGUACUGCCCACAGAGGAGCCUGGUGGGCUAUAGUCCAUGGGGUCUCACGGAGUUGGACAGGACUGAGCAACUGAGCAUAGCUCACUUUUAUAGCAGUCUCUUAUAUUUCAUUCUUUCUCAUAUAAUCGGCAAGUUAUAGAUUCAGGUUUUGAUGAUGUCAGUAUCUGAAGGUUUUGAAAGUCAGGUUUUCUGUCUCUUUAAUUUAGUUUCUCCUCACGGUGCUUAGUUACCUGGUACGUUUGGUGAUUUUUCUUUUACUUGUGAAACGUGCUUUUUUCCUUGGAAAAUUAUUGUGAGAAUUCCCUAAGGUGAGUGUGUUCCACAGAGAGGAAUUGUAUUUCUUCUGCUCUAUUCUUGGGACCAGGUCUUGUUCCACAAAAUCUCAUAACUUUUUGCGCAGUAAGUAUGGAAAAUGAGAGUGACAUUUGGAAAUUUUUAUAGCAACUUCACAUUGCUAUAGAUAGCAUCACUGUUCUGUGUUUGUCCUUUUGUUUCCGUAUCGUGAUUUUGUGCGGUUCAUUUUUAUUUCAUUUUACAAAACUUCUCAUGGGUUGGAAAUGAAGCAAACAGCCCAGUACUUCACCAUCAGGGUAGUUUUAGAGGUUCUGUUUUGAACAAAAUUGACAACACUUUUGGACUUCCCACUUAAUGUGUAUUGAUAAGUUAGGUUGCAGAUUCAUGUGAGUGCUAGUUUUUGUUACAGCGUCUCUAUAUUUAAUCCUUUGCUGCUUUUCUCAGCAUUUAAGGAUGUGUCCCUGUUGUGUUUUUCUGUGUAGUUUGAUAAGAGUCCUUUUCACUUUCUUUGAUAAGAGUCCUUUUCACUUUCAACUUACAUCGCAGGUGUAGCAUUUUAGAGAUCCCAAAUUUGAGAAGUGUCCUCUGUUAGAUUUCCCACCCUGGGUGAGCCCUGGGUUUUGUCUUCCGUCUGUUGUACUCUAUGAGAAAUUAAAAAUGAAAACUAAAAAAAAAAAAUCCACUAGGUUGACCAGAUGCCCUUAGGGGAAAAAUGGCUUUAAUGUCCUAUUAUCAUUCCUUUCUUUCUUUCUUUUCUGUGAAUUG
RNAcentral lists this long non-coding RNA (1080 nucleotides) under Bos grunniens (domestic yak). RNAcentral's name for it is "lncRNA (ENSBGRG00000016820.1)". The record is from RNAcentral. Lineage: Eukaryota; Metazoa; Chordata; Mammalia; Artiodactyla; Bovidae.